CUUAGAUUUCUUAGAGAGAGAAGAAAGUGGUGACUUCCUUGACACUUCCCAAGAAUAUCUAGAAAAUAUUCCUAAGUGUCCUCUUCUUCAUGCAACUGAUCAACUAGUAUGGGCUAAGAGACCUAUUUCUUUUACAAAGGAGAAAUUCUUCAGCUGAAGGAUGGUAAUAGUGGGAAUUUUCUAAAUAGACAAACAUCUAGCCUGAGAUUUAUUUUUUAUUUAAAAUAAUUUAACUCUAUCUAAAUUACAAGUUGAUUUCUAUGUAAAUCAACUGCCAUACUGAAACACUGAACACACAUUGGUUCUGCGAGCCUGUUCUCCUUUUUUUAGAAUUUCUGGGCAGCUGUUGACAAAGAACAAGGGCUCAUGAAGCAGAAAAGAAUAAAGAGCAGGACUGUGUGCUUUGGGUCUACUCUUCCAGAACUUUGACCGAGUGGCUCAGAACAAGCGCGCCAGUGAAAAUCGACCAGAAAGCCACUGUUUUUGGAGCUUUUCUCUGAGCUUCUGUCGCCAUAGCACUUCAUGAAAGAACAAGUGAACUUCUGUCUCCCCAUUUCCAGGUAUCGGGUAGUAGGCAUCUCUCCCUGGGCAAAAGCUACUGGUUUUGUAAGCGUCAGGAGGUGCAACGAGAAGAGCAUGGAUCUAGCAAAAAUUUUUCAUGAGAUCCUAGAGAAAGAAACGUGCCAUAAGCAUGGCUCUUGGACAUGGACAGCUCCAGGACUGCAGAUGGGAGCACCUCUGAGUGUGCUCUCCAUGCCGGAUGCUCACCGCGGGGUAAUCAUGCUUUCCAUGUUGUUUUCUUUGGAAAACGUAAGUCAUCUGCCGGAAUUAGUGAGGUUGGACUUAAUAUUUUUCCCCAUGAACCUUUAGUCUUAGUAAUUUGAAGGUUAUAUAAAUAUAUCCCUUAAAUACCCUGAGUAUGUCUCUAGUUAUUUUAGCUUUGGUAAUGGUAUUGAGUUUAUUGAGUUCACACAAUUAAAUGAACAAUUUAAUGCCAGAUAAGAAUUUUUCUUACCAGGAAUGUCUGGCAAAUGAGGCCUAACAAAAACAAUAUUAUCUUAACUGAAGUCUUCCUUAUUCUCCUCUGGUAGAUUUUCAAUAGACUUCGUGUUUUAGUGCAUAAUUGCUCCAUAACUUUAUAAUUUACUACCAUAGACCUUAUUAAAGUAUCCUUAAUUCUGGAGUUUUUUGAAGCACUAGAAGAGAGAGAGAAGAGCCUUAGAUACUUCUUAACUGUUAGCUAUAAAAAUUUAAAGCAUUUCUUAAUGUAUUUCUAUUGUGAGAAAUUUCCUCAAUAAAAAGCUCUGGG
This 1309-nucleotide long non-coding RNA is filed under the name Fukomys damarensis (Damara mole-rat). RNAcentral's name for it is "lncRNA (ENSFDAG00000023376.1)". Lineage: Eukaryota; Metazoa; Chordata; Mammalia; Rodentia; Bathyergidae. The record is from RNAcentral.